GAGUUUGAUCAUGGCUCAGGACGAACGCUGGCGGCGUGCCUAAUACAUGCAAGUCGAGCGCAGGAAAUUAACUGAUUCCCUUCGGGGAUGACGUUAAUGGAAUGAGCGGCGGACGGGUGAGUAACACGUGGGCAACCUACCUGUAAGACUGGGAUAACUCGCGGAAACGCGAGCUAAUACCGGAUAACAUUUCUUUUCGCAUGAGAAGAUUUUAAAAGGCGGCGUAAGCUGUCACUUACAGAUGGGCCCGCGGCGCAUUAGCUAGUUGGUGAGGUAAAAGCUCACCAAGGCGACGAUGCGUAGCCGACCUGAGAGGGUGAUCGGCCACACUGGGACUGAGACACGGCCCAGACUCCUACGGGAGGCAGCAGUAGGGAAUCUUCCGCAAUGGACGAAAGUCUGACGGAGCAACGCCGCGUGAGCGAUGAAGGUCUUCGGAUCGUAAAGCUCUGUUGUUAGGGAAGAAAAAGUUGGAUAGUAACUGAUCCAACCUUGACGGUACCUAACCAGAAAGCCACGGCUAACUACGUGCCAGCAGCCGCGGUAC
Molecule: ribosomal RNA, 547 nt
Filed under: uncultured bacterium
Lineage: Bacteria
Description: bacterial SSU rRNA
Rfam family: Bacterial small subunit ribosomal RNA
Source: RNAcentral